Molecule: ribosomal RNA, 322 nt
Filed under: uncultured eukaryote
Lineage: Eukaryota
Description: partial 18S ribosomal RNA
Rfam family: Eukaryotic small subunit ribosomal RNA
Source: RNAcentral
CCCUUAGAUGUUCUGGGCCGCACGCGCGCUACACUGACGAUGGCAACGAGUUUUUCCUUCGCCGAAAGGUGUGGGUAAUCUUUUGAAACAUCGUCGUGCUGGGGAUAGAUCAUUGCAAUUUUUGAUCUUGAACGAGGAAUUCCUAGUAAGCGCGAGUCAUCAGCUCGCGUUGAUUACGUCCCUGCCCUUUGUACACACCGCCCGUCGCUACUACCGAUUGAAUGGUCCGGUGAAGCCUCGGGAUUGUGGCCAGUGCCUUUUUGGUUUUGGUUGCGAGAACUUGUCUAAACCUUAUCAUCUAGAGGAAGGUGAAGUCGUAACA